Molecule: small nucleolar RNA, 108 nt
Organism: Rhododendron vialii
Lineage: Eukaryota; Viridiplantae; Streptophyta; Magnoliopsida; Ericales; Ericaceae
Product: small nucleolar RNA snoR100
Exons: 1
Source: RefSeq, a predicted model, not a curated record
GAAUGAAGAAAGUAUGGUAAUAUACACAAAAAUUGAUUUGGGUUUCUCGGCCUGCCCUCUUUGAUGCCUUUCAGCUUUGAUUUCGGGGCAUGGUUCCCACAAAAACGU